GAUGAUCGGAAAGAUCGGACUUGGACUGUCUUCGUUACUCCUCCCCAAACCCCUAAACCCUCUUCCUCCCAUUCACAUCACCAACAAUCAUCUCUCUCCUUCGAUUCUCCACCCAAGAAAAAAGAUUAUCCGGUAAUUCAGCCGCCGCCAGCUCAAUCUCUUCCACCCGUUCUCCCGCCACCGGUGAACUACAAUCCUAAGUCCGACGCCUCAUCAUUUGCUUCCUUAAGUCGUUUUGUUUUUGUUUUUUUUUAAUUCUUUGCCCCCUUCUGCUGCCUUCUCC
RNAcentral lists this long non-coding RNA (283 nucleotides) under Panax ginseng (ginseng). Its description in RNAcentral is "long non-coding RNA (PGIN_LNC016164)". The record is from RNAcentral. Lineage: Eukaryota; Viridiplantae; Streptophyta; Magnoliopsida; Apiales; Araliaceae.